ACCAGUUUGAAACUUUUAAAUUUCGUGACUUUAAUUAAUUAAUUACUUUUCUAUUUAAAAUCUUAGAAAAUCCAUAUCUUUUCCGUUUCAACUCCGAUUUUCGUGAUCUUUACGUCUAUGAAAUCGUAGCGAUGCGUAGAAUCAUUUUAUAAACUUUUCAUACUGUUUUUAUAUGUUUGGUGUACUGUUCUAAUUGUAUCUUU
RNAcentral lists this long non-coding RNA (203 nucleotides) under Sorghum bicolor (sorghum). Its description in RNAcentral is "long non-coding RNA (SBIC_LNC012625)". The record is from RNAcentral. Lineage: Eukaryota; Viridiplantae; Streptophyta; Magnoliopsida; Poales; Poaceae.